GGAGCGGAAAACUUCUCGUCGAGUCAAUGAUUUGCAAUAUCAGAUAGGUCUUCGAUACACUGGUGGUGCUCGCAUGCUGUUAAUGCUGUCACUAAAGUUUGGAGUCAUCCCCAUUUCUGUGCCAGUCGGUGUUCGGAACUUUGACAUUGAUGGUGAACUUUGGGUCAAGUUACGAUUAAUACAAACAGAGCCUUGGAUUGGAGCUGUUUCUUGGGCUUUUGUCUCCCUUCCCAAGAUAAAACUUGACUUGUCACCCUUCCGUUUGUUCAACCUAAUGGCAAUUCCUG
Molecule: unclassified non-coding RNA, 287 nt
Filed under: Hevea brasiliensis (rubber tree)
Lineage: Eukaryota; Viridiplantae; Streptophyta; Magnoliopsida; Malpighiales; Euphorbiaceae
Source: RNAcentral